This 422-nucleotide ribosomal RNA is filed under the name uncultured bacterium. Its description in RNAcentral is "partial 16S ribosomal RNA". It matches the Rfam family "Bacterial small subunit ribosomal RNA", at positions 360 to 774 of the family's 1533-position model. The record is from RNAcentral.
AAUUUUGGACAAUGUGGGACACCCUGAUCCAGUCAUCCCGCGUGUAUGAUGACGGCAUUCGGGUUGUAAAGUACUUUUGUCAGAGAGGAAAAGGUAUCUCAUAAUACAAGAUACUGCUGACGGUAUCUGCAGAAUUAGCACCGGCUAAUUAAUUGCAAGCAUCCGCGGUAAUACGUAGGGCGCCAGCGUUAAUCGGAAUUACUGGGCGUAAAGCGUUUGUAGGCGGUUUGGAAAGAAAGAUGUGAAAUCCCAGGGCUCAACCUUGGAACUGCAUUUUUAACUGCCGAGCUAGAGUAUGUCAGAGGGGGGUAGAAUUCCACGUGUAGCAGUGAAAUGCGUAGAUAUGUGGAGGAAUACCGAUGGCGAAGGCAGCCCCCUGGGAUAAUACUGACGCUCAGACACGAAAGCGUGGGGAGCAAACA